GGGAAUAAGAAAACAAAUAAUAUAAUUUUAGACGGUCAUAAAUGCUAUGGAGAAAGUCAAGCCAGGUACGUGGAGAACAUGCGAUGGGAGGAGCCGUGUGAGAGAGGUGGUGGGGAGGGCCUCUGAGGAGGCCGAGCAGAGCGGGAUGUGAGGGCGCUAGUGCAUGUGGGGUUCUGCAAGUGUUCGUUGUUUAAUGACUGUUGGAAGCUUUCGUGCCAUGUGGUGGUGAGCCCUCUAGGACGGCUGUGUCUAUAUCAUGGGCUCUGCUUGUGGCAUGCUAACUGGACCCCCCACUCCUUUUUCCUUCUCCUUGGUAAUAGAAACACGGAUAUACGUGGUCCACAUGUGACGCUCAUGUAGAAGGAGGCCGACUGUGGCACAGCGGAUAGAGCCAGACAAGCCUGGAUCGGCUCCUGCCACUAACCAGCCUGAAGACCUGGGGCAAUCCAUUUAACCUCUCUGAUGCUCAUUUCUCAUCCGUAAAAUGAGGAGAAGAAUACCUCCACAGGCGAACUUCAUUGGCGGUCUCUUCUCAGUUCCUGCUCUUGGCUCUGACUUGCCAUAUCUCGGCAGAAAGCUCAAGCAUGCUUCGGGGUUCAGAGACUGUGUACACUGAGAAUUUGACAUUGAAAUUCAGUAAAAGAUUUGGAGAACUCCAGAAAUGCAGCAUCUCAACUUGACAAAAAUGUGUUUGGUUUCUGUGGUUAAGUGAAAUUACAGCAACCAACAUUUAUUGAAAGCUGACUAUAUGCCAAGUAUUGUUCACAUGCGUUUAUCCAUUUAGCCCUCUCAAGCCCCCAAGUUGUCAUCAUUCUCUUGUCACCAUCUGACGUGGCCAGGCAGCAAGGGAAAGAUUGCGACAGUGCCCGGUGGCCAGAGCCUGCAGGUGAAUGAGUCCUUCCGUGGACGGUUCCUGCCACUUGGAAAGAAUUUGUGAGCUGCCCCAGCUCUAAUUUGUUUACUGCUACUUCAUGGUACAGACUCUACAAUGCACAACUAUUUUCACAUGAUCUUAUAGAAGGAAUUUCCUACUUCAGGAAGUUUGAGAAACGGCUUCUUACAAACAUCAUGUACCGUUGACAAAAAUGCCUGCUCUCCAAACCUGCGGCCGCGCAGCUCUGCCCCCCUGCAGUCAGAUCACGCUGGGCCUGGGGCCUACGGACCCUUGAAGAACACUGGCUGUCUGAGGCAAGAGUCAGGAUUAUUCCACCAGGAACAGGUAGACGCUCUGCUCAGCCACUUGUGUGUAAACUCCGUGCGGCCAGGCUCAGUGUCUGUCCUGGUCACUGCUGCACCCACAAGGCCUUGGCCGUGUGGUUUUGGACGAGCGAGGGGGUGACUGACAGUUCAGUCUAAACAAAACCCCUGAGGCUAGAAGAGAACCGCCACCUGGGUUCUCCCUGCCUGCUCCCCGCUCCCAGACACCUCCCAUUACACUUUUCCUCUCUCCUCUCUGUUUUCUGCCCAUCCCUGACUUUCUUCACUUCCAUCCUCACCUUCUUCUGCUUUGUCUGCAUUUUUUUUGCUUCCACCAGCCUGACGAUGACGCCGCUUUUGACCACGCCUUCUUUGUAUCUUUCAUCUCUUUCCCACAGCUCUUCUCUGUUGCACUGCGGCUGGGUUUUCCAGAUGUGUGUGGCUGCAUUUCAAGUGUCUGACUGUGUUCUCUCUCCCAGGGACAUGGGAGCACGUGGUUGCAGAGCGCUGACCUCCAUUCCCACCUUCUCUCUUCUCUUUCCUCGCUGCUGCUGAUCGAGGGCCGGUAACAAUAGUCUGGUCCCUCCCCGUCAUGAGUGUCCCACUCGGCUUCGUGCCUCUCCCCCCGCCUGCCUUUGUGUCUCUGUGUCCAGAACAGCCUUCUCUGUUCUAAAAUUUCCAGAGUUGUCCUCCUGCUGAGAGCAUUCCUCACAUAUCCCAGGUGGGCACUCAGGAUUCUUUCCAACGAGAACACAAAGGAACAAAGGAAAGCCGGGUGGACAGGAGUGCCAGCCCUGGGGGCUCAGGCCGGCGUGCCCAGAGGGAGCUCGGAGAUGAUACAAACCAUGCUCAUUCAUCAAAGCAGCUUUCUUCAGACUUUUAAGAUUGUGUACCCCCUCAGUAAAGAAUUGUGAGCACUCACCACUUCAAUAUAUGAAUAGUAAUUUAUUAAUUAUAUAUAUGACUCUACUAAUAUAUAGACUCAU
This is a long non-coding RNA of Equus caballus (horse), 2183 nucleotides long. NCBI's taxonomy places the organism in Eukaryota, Metazoa, Chordata, Mammalia, Perissodactyla, Equidae. The record is from Ensembl.